RNAcentral lists this non-coding RNA (165 nucleotides) under Eurytoma brunniventris. The record is from RNAcentral. Lineage: Eukaryota; Metazoa; Arthropoda; Insecta; Hymenoptera; Eurytomidae.
AACAUUAGGGUCGGAUACGGAGCAACGGAGCUCGCAAAUUUUACUGUCCAAAAACAGUGUUGCGAGCUCACCCAAUAACCCAAUAUACUUAAAUGGGUUUUCUUAGCCAUUUGGGUUCUCCCAAUGAAUCAGGAAAUGGUCGACUUGCUCUAUCCGGCUGUUUUU